Molecule: ribosomal RNA, 224 nt
Filed under: uncultured bacterium
Lineage: Bacteria
Description: partial 16S ribosomal RNA
Rfam family: Bacterial small subunit ribosomal RNA
Source: RNAcentral
UACGUAGGGUGCAAGCGUUGUCCGGAAUUAUUGGGCGUAAAGAGCUCGUAGGCGGUCUGUCGCGUCUGCUGUGAAAACUCAGGGCUUAACCCUGAGCUUGCAGUGGGUACGGGCAGACUAGAGUGCGGUAGGGGAGACUGGAAUUCCUGGUGUAGCGGUGAAAUGCGCAGAUAUCAGGAGGAACACCGGUGGCGAAGGCGGGGUCUCUGGGCCGAAAACUGACG